Molecule: unclassified non-coding RNA, 259 nt
Filed under: Hevea brasiliensis (rubber tree)
Lineage: Eukaryota; Viridiplantae; Streptophyta; Magnoliopsida; Malpighiales; Euphorbiaceae
Source: RNAcentral
AACUUUUUAUGUUGAUCUUGGCUUUGAACCCAAGUGGAUUGGCAUAAGAAUUCAAUCUCUUAAUGUUGAUCUGUUCGAUUAAAAAAUAUCUCAAACAAGGAUGUCAAAAUGUAGAAGUAUUCUCACGGUGAAUAUCUCUGUACUAUAAAUAAAGUUCAUACAAUGAACAAAAUAUGGUUUAAGGAGAAAUCACCUUGAUAUGCAAGAACUUGAAGGCAAUGAAUAACUAUAACUUACAUUGCAUUGUUUUGUACUGCAG